UCGAGCGGUAGAGAGAAGCUUGCUUCUCUUGAGAGCGGCGGACGGGUGAGUAAUGCCUAGGAAUCUGCCUGGUAGUGGGGGAUAACGUUCGGAAACGGACGCUAAUACCGCAUACGUCCUACGGGAGAAAGCAGGGGACCUUCGGGCCUUGCGCUAUCAGAUGAGCCUAGGUCGGAUUAGCUAGUUGGUGGGGUAAUGGCUCACCAAGGCGACGAUCCGUAACUGGUCUGAGAGGAUGAUCAGUCACACUGGAACUGAGACACGGUCCAGACUCCUACGGGAGGCAGCAGUGGGGAAUAUUGGACAAUGGGCGAAAGCCUGAUCCAGCCAUGCCGCGUGUGUGAAGAAGGUCUUCGGAUUGUAAAGCACUUUAAGUUGGGAGGAAGGGUUGUAGAUUAAUACUCUGCAAUUUUGACGUCACCGACAGAAUAAGCACCGGCUAACUCUGUG
RNAcentral lists this ribosomal RNA (450 nucleotides) under uncultured bacterium. RNAcentral describes it as "bacterial SSU rRNA". It matches the Rfam family "Bacterial small subunit ribosomal RNA", at positions 62 to 507 of the family's 1533-position model. The record is from RNAcentral.